Molecule: RNA transcript, 3893 nt
Organism: Choloepus didactylus (southern two-toed sloth)
Lineage: Eukaryota; Metazoa; Chordata; Mammalia; Pilosa; Megalonychidae
Gene: PRIMA1
Gene name: proline rich membrane anchor 1
Exons: 6
Source: RefSeq, a predicted model, not a curated record
CGUGCGAGCGCGCCCCUCCCGGGCUCCGCCGCCCCGGAGGCCCAAGCCGCGCGCAAACUUUUGCUCCAGUGCCCAGCGCUCUUCUCCGGCAUGUGAAGCCCCCAGGCGCCCGCGCAGCCGCCAGGUUGACCCCGCGAGCGGGGGCUGGGGCCCGAGAUGCUCCUCCGGGACCUGGUGCUGCGCGGUGGCUGCUGCUGGCCCUCGCUGCUGCUGCACUGCGCUCUCCACCCGCUCUGGGGUUUCGUGCAGGUGACGCAGGGUGAGCCCCAGAAGUCCUGCUCCAAAGUGACCGACAGCUGCCAACAUGUCUGCCAGUGCCGGCCGCCGCCCCCGCUGCCCCCACCGCCGCCGCCCCCGCCACCUCCCAGACUCCUCUCCUCCCCACCCCCCAACUCCACCCCGUGCCCCGCUGAGGAGAGCUGGUGGUCAGGGCUGGUGAUCGUCGUGGCGGUGUGCUGUGCCUCCCUGGUGUUCCUGACCGUGCUUGUCAUCAUUUGCUACAAAGCCAUCAAGAGGCGCCAGGCCAUUUAGGGAGCCGUCUGUGGCCAUCUCUGCCUGGACCAAGGUGGAACUGCCUCUCCUUGGUUAGCAGGGCCAGCCCUGGGUCACUGAGCCUGGAGCCCCGCUGGGUCCUUACUGAGCCUGGAGCCCGGUUGGGUCCUCACUGAGCCUGGAGCCUGAUUGGGUCCUCACUGAGCCUGGAGCCUGGCUGGGUCCUCACUGAGCCUGGAGCCCACUGGGUCCUCAUGAGCUUGGAGCCCGGCUGGGUCCUCACUGAGCCUGGAGCCUGAUUGGGUCCUAGCCACUCUCUCUAGUGUUUCCAGCCCUGCCAGGGGCCCAUUAGAUUACGUAGUUGAGAACACCCUCAGCUUCUGACUGACUCUACAAGGACCCGAGGAUGCUAACCCUGAACAGAGCCUGGGGGUGCUAGCUGGGAGGGCCUGAUAAACCCCCACACCCAGUGAUAACUGACGGAUUCCCUGCGUCCCUCGCCCAUGUCUUCCCUGCCGCCUCUGCCCACUUCCAGGAAACCCCUGAGGAAAGACGAAAACGGCACCAGCGCUGCUGAGUACCCCAUGACUUCCUCCCAGGACGGCAAGGGGCUGGACGUGAACAACGCAGUGGUGUGAGCCUGCGGGCCCCGGACCUGCUGGCCAGAGGGACACCUCGGCAGCGCUAAGGCACGUGGGAGACGAGUGGACGCGAGCAGACGCUGGGCUUGUCCAGGACUUCGUUGCCUUGCAGGCCUCAAGCCCCCGAAGGAGAAACCAUCCCCUUCCCGGCUGUGCCCCAGGCAGCCCGUGGCAGAGGCGACUCAGAUGCCCGGCCUGAGCCGGGCUCACCCUGCACGCAGCGCCCGGGACCAGCCUCUCCGCCCGAGGCUCCUCCACGUCCUCCUCCUCGUCUUGUGUUUGACUCGCCAUCCCCCAGCUGCUCUCUAAAGCUCGUGCUUGUCAGACAAGAAGGCAGAGGGGCCUGUCUGCCUGCUGGGACAUGGGGGUGUCCCCCUUUUAGCCCAAAGGAAGGUGAUCCAGGGGUCCAUCCUCCGACUGAAAACCUCCUCCCCUCCCAGAAAGCCCAUCUGCUUCUCUGCUGCACACACAGGUCCCAACAGAAGCCACUGGCGCAGCCCUGAGACUCCCCUCGCAAAGGUGCUCCCCACACAUCUGUCUGUCGUCACCCCUGCCCCCACCCACAGCUCUCCUCACUGCUGCCCCCCUCCUCCUCUCCCCAACACCCCCUGGGCCCAAGCCCCUCUGCCUGCCAUUAAGGACUGUGAGCCCAGCCUGCAAAAGCCCCUCUCCCGAGCAGACAAAGUUCAUUUACACCAGGGGCUUGUGAAACUGACUUGCCAAGCCCCAGACCAAGGGCCGCCGGGGAGGGCAGAGGCCCCUGCACCUGUUCCCAGACUCCUUCCCAGACCCGCCUCCUAGGAACCCCCGCCCCCGCCUCCCUGGGAGCCAGGCCCCGCCUUGGUCCAGCAGAGGCUACCCUUGUGCCAAACCCGGCCUGCUGGGCUGGCCAGGCCUAGCUCUGGGCCUCCCUGACAUGCCCAGGUCUCCUGACUGCCCCCCAAGAGCUUCCCUCCUUAUCCUAGUGAGGUGGAGUUUUCUGAAAGUGUUGGGCACUCCUGAGUGGUUGGUGGGGGAGGGAAAGGGAGAGAGAAAGCAGAGAGGAAUUUUCCAGGCUGGGAGCCCUGUGCAACCGGCCUGUUCCCCGUUGGCUGCUGGCCCUGUUGGGCUCAUCUCUGGGCCCCUGGGGACAGCGGCCUCCUGGUGAAUUGGAGGACACUUGUGACCCCGUGGGUGCCCCCAUGCCCCACACACUUGCUCAGAAGGAACCAGAUGCCUUUAAUGGUCACUCCUGGCCGUGUAGGGAUUUAGCUGGGUGGGCCCGGUUUGCCCCCCAGAGCACCAUAUGCACCAGUGAGUUCUCUGGCAGGUGUUUGGCCAUGGAAAUUGCCCCCCUUGCAAAUGCAGGUGAGACUGAUGGACUUGAAAGCCAGCCCCCAUUUGGGCCGAACCUUGAUCUGUCCGUUGUCCCAGAGCCUGGUGCUCGCAGGGUUUUCUGUGCAUCACUGUCUUUGGGGCCCAAAGGACAGCAGAGCGUUUGCUGUGACACUAACCCGGGGUCUGUGGGCACAGGCUGAGGCCAGGCCUGGGGCCUGCCCCCUGACAGGUUUCUUCUUUUCUGUUUUCCUUCUUUUUGGGGGCUUGGUUUUGGUUUGGAUGCGGGUUUCGCUCUCCAGCAUGCCUUCCGUGGUCAGAGAGGGCAGCUCCAGCUAGGGGGAAGGGCUCUGUCUGUCUGCAGAGUGCCGGGAGCCCUGCGAGGGGAGCGGGACACAGCUCAGCGCUUUAUAAACCCACCCCUCCCACCACCCCCAGACCUUGGUUUAAACCCAGGAGGCCCCAGAUGACUCUGCAGUUAGCCUGAUCCUCCGGUGUCCUGAGGCUCCCCGGCAGGGAGCCCCCCGAGCCCUCCGUGGGCCUGGGCAUUGCCUCCCCUCCCCAGACUCGUCCCACGUCCAUCCGUCCGUCCAGGGCUCAGGUAAAGGCUGACGUUUGCGUAUAAAUUUCCUCUAAACUGGGUUUAUAAAACCCCUUCUCUCCCAGUUAGAGAAAACUUAGGAAGAGCCCAGUUUUUAGAAAGGAUUCACUUGAGAACAACCCUCCAAACCCAAAACCAGUCACACAGAAGACAUUUCGUGGUGGGUGAGUGGGCUCCUCCGGGUUUCUACCUGAGAGACUGAAGCGUACAGAAAACCACACCUGCCUUGUGUCUGAGCUUGAACUUUUUAUUUAAGGAAUGUAUCUGCAGCCCUCAAGACAGACCAGUUCUCAGACUUGCCCAUUCUGAGGUCGGGAAUGAAAGGCACAUUCCUUCCUGCAUUUUAUCAAACACAUAUUUUUUCAACUGCCUCACAGUUGAGGCCAACUUUAGAAUUUAAAGGUACAUAGGCGCCCUCAGACUUUUCAGGUGUUCCUUAGAAGCUUCUGAAGCAAGUUUUGGAGGAAAGCUUUAUGUGUAUAAAAAUAUAGACACAUAUAUAUAUAGUUAUAUAUAUUUAAAGAGAUGUUAUAUAUACAUGCACACACACAAUUACUAUACUCUCUGCAUCUGUACAGAAAAUAUAGUGUGAGAUUUUAAUGCAUGAAUGUAAAUAUCCUGAAAUCUGCCUUCUUAACGAUGUGCUGUGUGCACGGGGAAGGUGACUCCCGUCCUAGGCUUCUGUCUCAAUGGACAGACGCACAUGUCAUGGCCGUCUGUCCUCUGACAAGCCAUCACUGUCAAUUUUGUGCUCAGCUGCUGUGCAAGGGCCAGGAGCAGCAACAAUGGGGGCACGAGGUGACACGAGGAAGAAAGCACCAUGACUUUUUUUAUUUUCAAUAAAA